GGGUCAUGCCGGGGACUCUGGAGGGACUGCCGGUGUUAAACCGGAGGAAGGCGGGGAUGACGUCAAGUCCUCAUGGCCUUUAUGUCCAGGGCUGCACACGUGCUACAAUGGCGUGAACAAAGGGACGCAAACCCGCGAGGGGGAGCAAAUCCCAAAAAACACGCCCCAGUUCAGAUCGAAGCUGCAACUCGCCUUCGUGAAGCCCGAAUCGCUAGUAAUCGCAGUCAGCAACACUGCGGUGAAUGUGUUCCUGAGCCUUG
This 260-nucleotide ribosomal RNA is filed under the name uncultured bacterium. RNAcentral describes it as "partial 16S ribosomal RNA". It matches the Rfam family "Bacterial small subunit ribosomal RNA", at positions 1123 to 1383 of the family's 1533-position model. The record is from RNAcentral.